GACUCCGAUGAUGAUGAAAAGUUUCUGAGAUCUUCUUUGCGGAAAACAUUUUGGAGACCUGAACUGAGGAGAA
Beta vulgaris subsp. vulgaris (sugar beet) is the source of this 73-nucleotide non-coding RNA. Lineage: Eukaryota; Viridiplantae; Streptophyta; Magnoliopsida; Caryophyllales; Amaranthaceae. The record is from Rfam.